AACCCAUGCAUAGGACAUUUUCGCAUCAAAGCCUUGAAUCCUUCCCAUGCUUCAUACAAGGUUUCAUCCUCCAUUUACUUGAAUGAAGGUAAACCAUUUAAAGUAU
Hibiscus syriacus is the source of this 106-nucleotide small nucleolar RNA. The record is from RefSeq and is a predicted model, not a curated record. Lineage: Eukaryota; Viridiplantae; Streptophyta; Magnoliopsida; Malvales; Malvaceae.